UACGGGGGGGGCAAGCGUUGUUCGGAAUUACUGGGCGUAAAGGGUUCGUAGGUGGCCUACUAAGUCAGACGUGAAAUCCCUCAGCUUAACUGGGGAACUGCGUCUGAUACUGGGGGGCUUGAAAUCGGGAGAGGGAUGCAGAAUUCCAGGUGUAGCGGUGAAAUGCGUAGAUAUCUGGAGGAAUACCGGUGGCGAAGGCGGCAUCCUGGACCGACAUUGACGCUGAGGAGCGAAAGCUAGGGGAGCAAACGGG
Molecule: ribosomal RNA, 253 nt
Filed under: uncultured bacterium
Lineage: Bacteria
Description: partial 16S ribosomal RNA
Rfam family: Bacterial small subunit ribosomal RNA
Source: RNAcentral